ACAGCCAUACCACGUUGAAAACAUCAGUUCUUUUCAAAUCAUUGAAGUUAAGCAACCUCAGGACUGGUUAGUACUUGGAAGGGUGACAAUCUCGGAACACCGGUUGCUGUAGGCU
This is a non-coding RNA of Cordylochernes scorpioides, 115 nucleotides long. The record is from the annotation of a GenBank genome assembly. Lineage: Eukaryota; Metazoa; Arthropoda; Arachnida; Pseudoscorpiones; Chernetidae.